UUUGGAGAUCUGAGGAAAUGAUCUGGACAAUUUUAAGACAGAAAUCCUGAUAUUUAGCUAGCAGUUAUUUUAGGUGUAAAUAAUCAAUGAUGUUAAGUAGAUUCAAUUAAAUAAUUGUUCAAAUGUAUUUUGCUUCCUUAGACAAAGGGUAGACAUAAACUAUACCACGUGGCAUAGUCUUUUUUGUUCAAAAAGGUAGUCAGUCUGUCUUUGAAAGAUCAACUUGACCUAAAAUUGUAAUUCAGUGUAUCUUCAUAUAAAAUUAUUAAAUUUUUAUCUGCAGAAUUAUUUUCAACAGCAUUGAUUGCAAUAGUUUUGCGAUUAUGCUUUCCUUUAGAUCAUAAGCCAAUGACUUCUUCCGUCUUACUUUAUGCAUAAUAGAAUUGUUAUAAGAGAAUUAAACCUGAGAGUACUUCCAUUAUUGGAAGAAUUUCUCCUGUCAGCUUUUUGUCAACUGCUUAUAAAACUGUAGAAGAAAAAUUAUUCUUCAAUAUACGGUUUUCAUUAUGCAUUAGAUGCCUUUAAUAUUCCUAAGUGCCAUAAUUUCACAUAUGCCGUGUGUCACCUGGUGUAUGUAAACAUGAAAUUACUUGGAGAUUAUUGCAUAGUUAUAUCAAAAUGCUGAGCAGAAAAAAAAAUGACAUCCAAUAUUCACCCAGGGUUUAGACAAUACAUUUUUGUUUGAUGUGAAAGCAUUCAUAAUUUCAUCACAGAAGAGCAUUUUUCAAUGGUGCUCCCAGAUUGCCUGUAAAAGAUAAUUCCUCCCUUGUGGACAGGCUUCUAUCUCAUGCCCUCCGCGUGCCGCUGGUUUAUCUGUGCAGAGAGGGACACCCAAAGGGGGACAGUGAGCCCACUGUGUCUUUUAGAACCCAAAGCGAGUUACUGCAAACCUCAGGCAAUUGAAGUGAAUAUUGGCUAGCUCAAAAGGCUGUGAAGAUGACCACCGUAUCUAUCUGAGUAAUUUUUUUCUUCUGUCUCAGUCUUGAAAUCAGGCAUGGUUAUUUUUAUUUUCGGUGUAUGCAGGCUUAACCUAUGUGCUUAUAUUCACAAUGAACUCUUGAAUCGGAUCCUCUGUGUUUUGCUGGGGAGUAUUCAUUCCCCACUUGACCUGCUUUGUUGCUCAAAACUUUGUAGCUCAUCUUUGCCUUCCCGUCUGUUUAUUCUUGGUGUGGGGUUGUCAAGGAGAAAUGUUGGAAGGGAGAGAAGGGAGCAGGCAUCAUAGAUGGUAUUACAGGCGGCUGGUCUCUCCUCUCUCAGCCAACUAUGAGAACUAUUUGGGAUUGAAGGAGAUAAGCUACAGCAAGUCGUUACUUGUCCUGAAUGCACGACCUUCUUUCUUUGAGCAAGAGGACAAACCUGGGUAGGGAUCUCUAUGAUGUUUUCUGCGUUGCCCGUGGACGUUCAUCUUUCUGAUUUGUUAGCUGAAGAUGAGGAUCUGGAGCAGGAGCUCGGAGUGCCAUUGUUCCAUGGGCAGAUGUGCAGCAGAGAUUGCCACGCACCCAGUAAGGGGAAGUGAGGCAGACUGGCUGUGAACCUGGGGAUGCCACCAAAACCAGAGCAUUAGGAAGACAAGCAGGGCCUUCAGUAGGCAUAAGGUGAUGAGGUUCAUGCCGUUGGAUCCCACGGGUGCCCUGGGGAAGAGAUGGUUGGGAAGUCUGAGAGGAAGCAGGAGAGCUUUCGGAGCACAUGGAUGCCGUCCAGAAUGGAGAUGGUUGUGGCUCGGAAGAAAAAGAAAUCACCCAGCUCGGAGUCAGGAUACAUUUGGAGGUCCAGGCCGCCGAGUUUGCUGGUGGGGAAGAUAGGCACCAGAAAGGAAAGAGGACAUCCAGGGCAAUUUCUUCUGCCCCCCAGCCAAUCCGUACAUUGUCCAGAGGCCAAGCCUACUGCUGUUAGAAAACAUAUUUAGAAAUCACUUGGUUCUUCCUUGCCUGAACAUCAUCUAUUUAGUUAGCUUGUGUUGUUUAGAUGUGCUUCAGAUCUCAAAAAAAUAAAUUAUGUUAUUUGAAA
Molecule: long non-coding RNA, 2007 nt
Filed under: Homo sapiens (human)
Lineage: Eukaryota; Metazoa; Chordata; Mammalia; Primates; Hominidae
Description: HSALNT0355819
Source: RNAcentral